GAACAAGUGGUAAGUUUAAAGAUUUGCUUGUUUUAUGAUAUUAUUUUGUUAUUUAUAAUUAAAAAUAUUUUAUUAACUUGUGAAAUUUUCUAAUUUUUCUUUGUAGGUUCAACUAUGCCUCGUGGUCCCAAAGCUAGAUCGCUUAUUUGAGAACAUUUUGAGCUAGUUAAAGUAAAUGAAGAAGCACGCAAAGCAAAGUGUCUUCAUUGUGGUCGUGUUUAUAAUUGUCAUCCAAAGUAUUAUGGCACUUAUGGCUUAGUGAAAUAUAUUAAGAAGUGUCUCAUGCCUCUGUGAUUCGUAUUUAAGGCUUUAAGUAUUAUUUUCUAGACUUACUUUAUGGCUUAUGGGUUGUGACUAGUUUUUCACUGUUUUGUUGUUUGGUGAUGGUAUUUCUAGACUUAUUUUGGACUUUGGUAGCUGCUAGAUUUGCCACUGUGUUAAACUGUUUUGGACUAGUUUGCCACUACUGAACUGUGCGGUAUUUUGCUACUUAGGUGUUCUAUUUGCACUGAUGCCACUGAAGGUCUCCCUGCUCUCUGUGUGCUUGUUCUCUAUAGUCUAU
This 562-nucleotide long non-coding RNA is filed under the name Nicotiana tabacum (common tobacco). RNAcentral describes it as "long non-coding RNA (NTAB_LNC007288)". Lineage: Eukaryota; Viridiplantae; Streptophyta; Magnoliopsida; Solanales; Solanaceae. The record is from RNAcentral.